GGCUGGUUUGAGUGCAGUGGUGUUUACAGCUAAUUGAUUACAACCAGUUACAGAUUUCUUUGUUCUUUCUCCACUCCCACUGCUUCGCAUGACUGGCCUUAA
This 102-nucleotide Y RNA is filed under the name Propithecus coquereli (Coquerel's sifaka). RNAcentral's name for it is "Y RNA (ENSPCOG00000001966.1)". It matches the Rfam family "Y RNA". From Rfam's summary of the family: Y RNAs are components of the Ro ribonucleoprotein particle (Ro RNP), in association with Ro60 and La proteins. The Y RNAs and Ro60 and La proteins are well conserved, but the function of the Ro RNP is not known. The record is from Rfam by way of RNAcentral. Lineage: Eukaryota; Metazoa; Chordata; Mammalia; Primates; Indriidae.